GACUAACGGCUGGCGGCGUGCCUAAUACAUGCAAGUCGAACGGGAUUCUUGAUCAGCUUGCUGAGAGAAGGAUCUAGUGGCGGACGGGUGAGUAACGCGUGGGAAUCUGCCUCUUACUGGGGGAUAACAGUGGGAAACUACUGCUAAUACCGCAUAAGAUCUUCGGAUGAAAGGUGCAACUGCACCGGUAAGAGAUGAGCCCGCGUCCCAUUAGCUAGUUGGUGAGGUAAAGGCUCACCAAGGCGACGAUGGGUAGCCGGCCUGAGAGGGUGAACGGCCACACUGGGACUGAGACACGGCCCAGACUCCUACGGGAGGCAGCAGUAGGGAAUCUUCCGCAAUGGGCGCAAGCCUGACGGAGCGACGCCGCGUGAGUGAUGAAGGCCUUCGGGUCGUAAAGCUCUGUUCUUGAGGACGAAUAAGCCAGGGAGUGGAAAGCCCUGGUGAUGACUGUACUCAAGGAGAAAGCUCCGGCUAACUACGUG
Molecule: ribosomal RNA, 485 nt
Filed under: uncultured bacterium
Lineage: Bacteria
Description: bacterial SSU rRNA
Rfam family: Bacterial small subunit ribosomal RNA
Source: RNAcentral